RNAcentral lists this transfer RNA (72 nucleotides) under Camelus bactrianus (Bactrian camel). It matches the Rfam family "tRNA". Rfam says of the family: Transfer RNA (tRNA) molecules are approximately 80 nucleotides in length. Lineage: Eukaryota; Metazoa; Chordata; Mammalia; Artiodactyla; Camelidae. The record is from Rfam by way of RNAcentral. RNAcentral also lists the same sequence under 2 other names.
GAGGGUAUAGCUCAGUGAUAGAGUGCAUGCUUAGCAAGCAUGAGGUCCUGGGUUCAAUCCCCAGUACUUCCA